This 116-nucleotide ribosomal RNA is filed under the name uncultured bacterium. RNAcentral's name for it is "partial 16S ribosomal RNA". It matches the Rfam family "Bacterial small subunit ribosomal RNA", at positions 1359 to 1482 of the family's 1533-position model. The record is from RNAcentral.
CCGGUGAAUACGUUCCCGGGCCUUGUACACACCGCCCGUCAAGGCCAUGGAAGUUGGGGGUACCUAAAGUCAGUCACCGCAAGGAACUAGCCUAGGGUAAACCAAUGACUGGGGCU